UUAUUAUAUUAUAAUUGAAAGUUAUACUUAUAUAACAAUUAUAAACUAUUUAGCUGUAUUUUUAGUUACUUUCAGUGCACAAACAACGAUUAUUCACUUUCUAUACUUAAUGGUAUAAAUAUAAUGGGCAUACUGACAUACUUUAUUUAAAAAAAACAUAAAAUGUUUGAUUUCACAACCUAUAGCGUCGGCUAUAUAUUAGCCUAUAAAACAUGUAAUUUAAAAGACAUUAAUGGUCAUUAUAGCACAGUUCAAACAACAACAAUUAUAAACGAUUUUGCAGGAAUUGUAAUCAGGCGCUAAAAAUAAUACCCAUUAAUUGUUCGUUGAGCCAAUGGGAUCACUCUGGGUCCUGAGAAAUGACACCGGGACCGCGAUGCACGCUGGGAUUUGGAGUUUUCGGCUGAUUGUAUGCAAAACUCGCAUGCGGAAAGGUUUGAGCAUACACGUCUCGGAGAAUAUCAAUUAAAUAAUAAUUAUAUUACAAGUUAUGGUCCGAUGAGCACCGGCGCCAUGGAGAGUACAGGACACGUCUGGCCAUGUAGCAACUCCGGCUAGUGGAUUAGCACGCACGCGACCAAACACACAGACGGAUGAGAGAGAGGCUGGAGAGAUACAGGGAUACAGAUGAUGCUGAGGUCAGAUGCUCUCAAUCAGUAUACCUAUACAGAAUGCACAUAAAUGAAAUGAUAUAAAGCUGGAGAUUGUGGAUUUUAUUUUAGAUUGUGAUAGAUGAGAUAUAUUUUAUAAUUUAAUGCAGUUUGCAGUACCAGUUAUCCACUUUUAAAGACAGUGAUUAGAACACACACACACACACACACACACACACAAAAGUGCAUUGUGUUGAGGUUUUUCAUCAUGUGAAAAACAACAUAAGAAUAUUUGUCGCAAACAGCUUUUUAUGUAACUUCAAAGUGUUUUCUGUCAAAUGAUAUAAAGAUUGUAUUUAUUCCAAUGUAUGUGGGUAUGGGGACACUUCAAAUUUGGAUAGCGCAGUGCUCUACCAAUUGAGCUACAACAUAUAAGAUCAUUUUCAUCAAUUUCAACUGUUUAAUGUAAUUUCAAAAGAUUUCCUGUAAAAUGAUACCAAACUUUUGUAUGUACACCACUGCAUGUGGGUGUGGGUAUGGGAAGCUUUUGAAUUUAGGUAGGAAAAAUGCCAAGCGGAAAUCCCCAAAAUAGCAUUUGUGCAUAAGGUUUUCAAUUUUAAAAUUAUUGCAGCCUUGGUGAUCAUAAGAUUUCUAAAAAGCAUUACUAAUUAAGAUUUGUGUUUGUGAAUUCAUCUGUGUGAUAGUGAGGUAUAAAUACAGACACAGCCUAAGUGAUUGUGCAAUAAAGUGUUUAAACAAUUGCAAUAAAUUUGAACAAGAACAAAUUUAUUUAACAUUAAUUUGCAUUAGCAUAAGCACAAAUAACUAAUAGUGUAAAAUAUUUUUUUACUAUUAUGCAAAAGUGUAUAUAUAUAUAUAUAUAUAUAUAUAUAUAUAUAUAUAUAUAUAUAACUACAAAAAAAAUAAAAUACAAUAAAACUGAUUCGCUUAACUGAUUACUGAUUAGUCUAUAAAGCUAUGACUACAAUAAAACUGAUUCGCUGAACUGAUUACUGAUUAGUCUAUAAAGCUGUGACUACAAUAAAACUGAUUCGCUGAACUGAUUACUGAUUAGUCUAUAAAGCUAUGACUACAAUAAAACUGAUUCGCUGAACUGAUUACUGAUUAGUCUAUAAAGCUGUGACUACAAUAAAACUGAUUCGCUGAACUGAUUACUGAUUAGUCUAUAAAGCUAUGACUACAAUAAAACUGAUUCGCUGAACUGAUUACUGAUUAGUUUACUGUUUGUACGCUAACUACUCGUUUAUUAACAUGAUUUACAAUAAUUUUCAUGGGCAACUCCAUGAUUAGGUCAUCAAUGCUGCCACAAUAAUGUUCAGAAGGCACAACAAAGAUUUCAUCAUCCGCAGUAAGUAGGUGGCAGUUGUCAUCAAUUUCAGUCACUCCCACAACUUCAACUUCCUGUUCGACAGGUUCAACCUCCUCGAUCUGAAAAAAAAACAUAAAACAUUAAAAACCUUUUAAUUUAAUUGACUGUUUGUAUUUCACUGUGUGUUUGUGUGUGCACAUGCUAGUGAGUGUGAGUAAAGCCCCUUUCACACUGCACGUCGGACCUGGCAAAUUGCCGGAACAUUGCCGGGUCGCCUUAUGUGUGAAAGCAAACACGUCCCGGGAUUGAUUCUGGCAUUGAACCCGGGUCAGGGACCUAGUAACAUUGCCGUGUUCAAUCCAGGGACGAGCGCUGUGUGAACAAAAGCCAGAUUUAAUGCCGUGUCUUAGUGAUGACGCAGGUUAUCGCACGGACUCUUUUACCGGCUGUUUUGAGGAAGAUCAACGUUCAUGACAAAAAAAUAUGUGCAAACUGUAAUGAAGCAGAGAUCAGUUUGUUCCUCACUUUUCCGCAAAGAUGCUGAGAUUGUUUACUAUCGUUUACUCGUGAGCACUGGUGAGUGAAUGUGUGUGUGUCUGUGUGCACUAGUGUGUGUGUGUAUGUAUGUGUGUGUGUGUGCUAGCAAGUGAGUACAUGUGUGUGCGCUAGUGAGCAAGAGUGAGUGAGUGAGUGGUGUGUGUGCCUGCUAGUGAGGGAGUGUAUGUGUGUGCGCUAGUGAGUAAGUGUGUGUUUGCACUGGUGGAGUGAAUGUGUGUGUGUCUGUGUGCACUAGUGUGUGUGUAUGUAUGUGUUGUAUGUGUGUGCUAGCAGAGUGAGUGAUAUGUGUGCGCUAGUGAG
RNAcentral lists this long non-coding RNA (2778 nucleotides) under Carassius auratus (goldfish). RNAcentral describes it as "lncRNA (ENSCARG00000009366.1)". Lineage: Eukaryota; Metazoa; Chordata; Actinopteri; Cypriniformes; Cyprinidae. The record is from RNAcentral.